This 927-nucleotide long non-coding RNA is filed under the name Homo sapiens (human). RNAcentral describes it as "HSALNT0399767". The record is from RNAcentral. Lineage: Eukaryota; Metazoa; Chordata; Mammalia; Primates; Hominidae.
CAGAUUUCAAGGGUGGCACACAGAUGCCACCUCUUAAUGGGGAUGUGUCCAAGAAUUUGUAGACAUAUUUGAAACCACCACAGUUUGGGAGAAAGCAGAGCUUGCUAGUUGUCUAACUACGUUCCAUUUUUACCUUCCUAGUAACAGAAUCCCUAUGUUAUCAGUUAACUCAGAUUUUUUAAAAUCUACUUUUCCUGGCCUCCAUAAAAGAUGUGUGUCCAAUGAGAAGAAAGGAGAAGUCAUUGGAUGAGCCUUUGGGAAAGUUAUUUUAUAAACUUUAAAGAAUCUUCAUAGGAUAGUAUACUCUUCUAGAAAGUGUCUCUUUCCCCUUCUCCUCUUCUUUAUUCUCCCUGCCUGGAAUGCAGAUGAUAGAGUUGGAGCUCCAGUAGCCAUCUUGAGACCAUGAGGCAAUCCUGAGAAGGAAAGCUACACAUUAAGGAUGAGGGAGCAGAAAAAUUAAAGAAUACCAGGUCCUGGGAGACAUUGUGGAGCCAACAUGCCUACCCUGCCUUUUGAAUGUCAAGUUAUAAGACAGUAAAAUACAUGUCUAUUAUAUUUGGUGGUGUCUGUCACCAAAAUCAAUCCCUAACUGACACAAGCGAUCAGAAAGAGUUAGAUCAGAAAGGAGGAAAUGUAAUUUUUUUUGGUAAAGUAAUAAUUGCACAAGCAUUUGCUAAAAUGAGAAGGAGGUUGCCAGAUAAAGUAAGGAAAGACCUUUCAUGCAGAGGGAACAGUAUGGUUAAAAUAUCAAGGAAACCACUUGAUCACUUUCUCCUGAAAAAAUAACAUAUAUUAGAGUGGCUUGGUGAGGUUACUUCAAAUUAUAUUUGAUGAUUCCAGAGGAAGAAAUAGUAGAACUUCAGGUAUGCUGAGAAAGUGAUUUCUCCAACACAUCUCUGCUGAGAAGGAGGGGCUGAAGGAAAAGGC